This is a long non-coding RNA of Aethalodelphis obliquidens (Pacific white-sided dolphin), 1520 nucleotides long. RefSeq lists it as uncharacterized. The record is from RefSeq and is a predicted model, not a curated record. The transcript has 2 exons. Lineage: Eukaryota; Metazoa; Chordata; Mammalia; Artiodactyla; Delphinidae.
UUGCCGUUCACCUGGCUCCUGCCGCCGCAGGUGGUGCUGCGAUCGGAGCUUCCCAUCCCCUCGGUCCAUUACGUUGGUGCUGACCACGGUGUGGCUGUAUUCCCACUAGGCUUAGAGCUUUCAUACACGUCUUUUUUAUUUAAUAAAAUACUAUUUUGAUAGAAUACUUAAUAAACGAUUUCAUAAACGUCUUUAUAAUUACUGUGAGUUCGGGAGCACUGCUCACCUGCAUUUGUAGAUGAGCAGGCAGACUCGGGAAGCAGAGGCUCCCGUCGGUUCCCAGAUGAGGAAACUAAUGCAGCCUUAAAUAGUUCCUUGAGAGCAAAGACCAAGUUUCCGUUUCCUCAUCAAAUCCACGGCGUCGUCGGGCAUAGUAGGUACUGAAUUUUCGUUGAAAACAGUGAUAGUGGUAAACCCAGAAAAACUAUGUGAGGCCCAAAGGCCAAGGUUAGUAUUUGCAUGUUGGUCUUCUCCAAGUUAAACAUGAAGAAUUAAAGAUUCAUUUUAUCCUACCAAAAAUAUUCUUUAAUAGCAAGGUGUGUUUGUUUAGUGUAGAUCUGGGGAUGGAGUGACCAGCACAAAACUUGGGAAAUGGUAGGUGCUUGUCACCUGCAAAUGCCCGCAUUUACCUGUGUGCGUGCCCGGGCAGUGUUACACAAGUGGUUGACUUCUCUCGAGUUGUUUAAUCCUCAGGAAAAUGUAAUGACCUCAUUUCACAGAUGAGGAAACUGAAGCCUGAAGAAAGUAAGUAAUUUGCCCAAGGUCACGCAGCUAGUAGCAGAUUCAAGGAUAAAACAACCCAGGCAGCUUGGUGCCAGAGUUGGUGUUCUUAAUGCUGAAUGUCCCUUAUGAAAUGAGUGUCAAUGGAGUUACACGUCUGGGAAGAUACUAAGUGAAAUUGGUUGAAGAGUUUAAUACCCAAACUAAGGACUUAAAAUUUGGUGAGAUUAUGGUUCGAAUAAAUUCACACCAAGUUGUCCUUGGUAACUGAAGCUACCUGUCAGCAUCCUUUUUUUUUUUUUUUUGCAGCCCCUCUUUGAAGGUAUGAGUGGCCAGAAUAGAUGAUUUGGGGAGUUAUCUAGACUGCCAUUGUGAGAUAUCUCAACAAGAGAGGGGCUUUGGUGUUCCUGGAAGGAGAUGAGCAGGAAAGGGUGGAUGUUACAGACAUGCCCUCAGAGAGAGAAGCAGGUUCUUUUUAGCUCUUCUUUUGAACUCUGCUCUGACCUCCAGCUGAAAUGGGGCCGGGCAGCUUCAAAAGAAUUGUUGAUUGUCUUGGGCUCAGCUCCAGUGGGGGUGACUUUGAAGACCUUUGAAUAAUGAUAGUAAAGCAGGUAACUGGGUCUUUCAGGACCCCUCCCUGUACUUAUGGCCUCUGCUUGCUAAGGCACCCUUCUUGGUUUGGGGACAGAAUAUGACUACAAAGCCCCUGUAAGCUGUCUCAUUCAGUAUGUGCAGAGAAGAGGACUCUCAGAAGUGUAUAUAGCUUCCCAAAUUGUUAUUGUCUCUACCCGUAAUUUACC